This 253-nucleotide ribosomal RNA is filed under the name uncultured bacterium. RNAcentral's name for it is "partial 16S ribosomal RNA". It matches the Rfam family "Bacterial small subunit ribosomal RNA", at positions 524 to 776 of the family's 1533-position model. The record is from RNAcentral.
UACGUAGGGGGCGAGCGUUGUCCGGAUUUAUUGGGCGUAAAGAGCGUGUAGGCGGUUCGGUAAGUCUGUCGUGAAAUCCUGAGGCUCAACCUCGGGCGUGCGAUGGAUACUGCCGGGCUAGAGGGUGGUAGAGGCGAGUGGAAUUCCCGGUGUAGGGGUAAAAUCCGUUGAUAUCGGGAAGAACACCAGUGGCGAAGGCGCCUUGCUGGGCCAUCACUGACGCUCAGGGACGAAAGCGUGGGUAGCGAACGGG